RNAcentral lists this transfer RNA (75 nucleotides) under Cordylochernes scorpioides. RNAcentral's name for it is "tRNA-Thr". Lineage: Eukaryota; Metazoa; Arthropoda; Arachnida; Pseudoscorpiones; Chernetidae. The record is from RNAcentral.
UGUCAAGGGAUGGGAAUCGAACCCACGACCUUCCGUUUACCGGGCAGAUGCCAUGACCACUAGGCUACCCUGGAC